AUAAUGGGUCAGCGACUUAUAUUCUGUAGCAAGGUUAACCGAAUAGGGGAGCCGAAGGGAAACCGAGUCUUAACUGGGCGUUAAGUUGCAGGGUAUAGACCCGAAACCCGGUGAUCUAGCCAUGGGCAGGUUGAAGGUUGGGUAACACUAACUGGAGGACCGAACCGACUAAUGUUGAAAAAUUAGCGGAUGACUUGUGGCUGGGGGUGAAAGGCCAAUCAAACCGGGAGAUAGCUGGUUCUCCCCGAAAGCUAUUUAGGUAGCGCCUCGUGAAUUCAUCUCCGGGGGUAGAGCACUGUUUCGGCAAGGGGGUCAUCCCGACUUACCAACCCGAUGCAAACUGCGAAUACCGGAGAAUGUUAUCACGGGAGACACACGGCGGGUGCUAACGUCCGUCGUGAAGAGGGAAACAACCCAGACCGCCAGCUAAGGUCCCAAAGUCAUGGUUAAGUGGGAAACGAUGUGGGAAGGCCCAGACAGCCAGGAUGUUGGCUUAGAAGCAGCCAUCAUUUAAAGAAAGCGUAAUAGCUCACUGGUCGAGUCGGCCUGCGCGGAAGAUGUAACGGGGCUAAACCAUGCACCGAAGCUGCGGCAGCGACGCUUAUGCGUUGUUGGGUAGGGGAGCGUUCUGUAAGCCUGUGAAGGUGUACUGUGAGGUAUGCUGGAGGUAUCAGAAGUGCGAAUGCUGACAUAAGUAACGAUAAAGCGGGUGAAAAGCCCGCUCGCCGGAAGACCAAGGGUUCCUGUCCAACGUUAAUCGGGGCAGGGUGAGUCGACCCCUAAGGCGAGGCCGAAAGGCGUAGUCGAUGGGAAACAGGUUAAUAUUCCUGUACUUGGUGUUACUGCGAAGGGGGGACGGAGAAGGCUAUGUUGGCCGGGCGACGGUUGUCCCGGUUUAAGCGUGUAGGCUGGUUUUCCAGGCAAAUCCGGAAAAUCAAGGCUGAGGCGUGAUGACGAGGCACUACGGUGCUGAAGCAACAAAUGCCCUGCUUCCAGGAAAAGCCUCUAAGCAUCAGGUAACAUCAAAUCGUA
RNAcentral lists this ribosomal RNA (1032 nucleotides) under Escherichia coli. RNAcentral describes it as "partial 23S ribosomal RNA". It matches the Rfam family "Bacterial large subunit ribosomal RNA", at positions 612 to 1646 of the family's 2925-position model. The record is from RNAcentral. Lineage: Bacteria; Pseudomonadati; Pseudomonadota; Gammaproteobacteria; Enterobacterales; Enterobacteriaceae.